AGAGUUUGAUCCUGGCUCAGGACGAACGCUGGCGGCGUGCUUAACACAUGCAAGUCGAGCGGUAAGGCCCUUCGGGGUACACGAGCGGCGAACGGGUGAGUAACACGUGGGUGACCUGCCCCCUACUCUGGGAUAAGCCUGGGGAACUGGGUCUAAUACCGGAUAUGACCUUCGAUUGCAUGAUCGUGGGUGGAAAGUUCUUCGGUGGGGGAUGGGCCCGCGGCCUAUCAGCUUGUUGGUGGGGUGACGGCCUACCAAGGCGACGACGGGUAGCCGGCCUGAGAGGGCGACCGGCCACACUGGGACUGAGACACGGCCCAGACUCCUACGGGAGGCAGCAGUGGGGAAUAUUGCGCAAUGGGCGGAAGCCUGACGCAGCGACGCCGCGUGGGGGAUGACGGCCUUCGGGUUGUAAACCUCUUUCGGCCCCGACGAAGCGUGAGUGACGGUAGGGGUAGAAGAAGCACCGGCCAACUACGUGCCAGCAGCCGCGGUAACACGUAGGGUGCGAGCGUUGUCCGGAAUUAUUGGGCGUAAAGAGCUCGUAGGCGGUGUGUCGCGUCGGCCGUGAAAACCUGCAGCUUAACUGUGGGCUUGCGGUCGAUACGGGCAUCACUGGAGUUCGGCAGGGGAGACUGGAAUUCCUGGUGUAGCGGUGAAAUGCGCAGAUAUCAGGAGGAACACCGGUGGCGAAGGCGGGUCUCUGGGCCGAUACUGACGCUGAGGAGCGAAAGCGUGGGGAGCGAACAGGAUUAGAUACCCUGGUAGUCCACGCCGUAAACGUUGGGCGCUAGGUGUGGGGGCCAUUCCACGGUCUCUGUGCCGUAGCUAACGCAUUAAGCGCCCCGCCUGGGGAGUACGGCCGCAAGGCUAAAACUCAAAGGAAUUGACGG
This 893-nucleotide ribosomal RNA is filed under the name uncultured bacterium. RNAcentral's name for it is "bacterial SSU rRNA". It matches the Rfam family "Bacterial small subunit ribosomal RNA", at positions 8 to 916 of the family's 1533-position model. The record is from RNAcentral.